AGUGAACGCUGGCGGUAGGCCUAACACAUGCAAGUCGAACGGCAGCACAGUAAGAGCUUGCUCUUACGGGUGGCGAGUGGCGGACGGGUGAGGAAUACAUCGGAAUCUACUUUUUCGUGGGGGAUAACGUAGGGAAACUUACGCUAAUACCGCAUACGACCUACGGGUGAAAGCAGGGGAUCUUCGGACCUUGCGCGAUUGAAUGAGCCGAUGUCGGAUUAGCUAGUUGGCGGGGUAAAGGCCCACCAAGGCGACGAUCCGUAGCUGGUCUGAGAGGAUGGUCAGCCACACUGGAACUGAGACACGGUCCAGACUCCUACGGGAGGCAGCAGUGGGGAAUAUUGGACAAUGGGCGCAAGCCUGAUCCAGCCAUACCGCGUGGGUGAAGAAGGCCUUCGGGUCGUAAAGCCCUUUUGUUGGGAAAGAAAAGCAGCAGGUUAAUACCCCGCUGUUCUGACGGUACCCAAAGAAUAAGCACCGGCUAACUUCGUG
This 492-nucleotide ribosomal RNA is filed under the name uncultured bacterium. RNAcentral's name for it is "partial 16S ribosomal RNA". It matches the Rfam family "Bacterial small subunit ribosomal RNA", at positions 29 to 507 of the family's 1533-position model. The record is from RNAcentral.